This 404-nucleotide long non-coding RNA is filed under the name Sorghum bicolor (sorghum). RNAcentral's name for it is "long non-coding RNA (SBIC_LNC003211)". The record is from RNAcentral. Lineage: Eukaryota; Viridiplantae; Streptophyta; Magnoliopsida; Poales; Poaceae.
GCAAAUCAUAGAGACUUCUUACCGUUAGAUCUGAGGUAGCCGGUGGUACCGGUGGUUGCCCCGGUAGUACCGGCAGUUGUUCAUGACCUAUGUAUAAAUAGCUCUUCCCUCAUUUCUGACCGUUAGCUCUCCCAUUCCUUCAACUCUACAUCUGAGAAAUCAGUCUCCAAGCUUUGACUCACCCACUCUCUCUCCCUCUUCGCUCCUAGACUUCACUCCUUGAGAGAUUCGAGCUAGAGAAGUGAGAUUAGAGAGUUGGGAGCUUCGAUUUGUGACUUGAGCACUUGGAUUCUUCGUCUUGCCGGUUUGGUUUGCAUUUGUUACUCUUGGGUUCUUGGAACCCUAGCCGGCUAGGCGUUCUUCGUGGUUGCCCGUGUUGAUUCAUUUGUGAGGGCACCCCGAAG